RNAcentral lists this transfer RNA (74 nucleotides) under Patescibacteria group bacterium. Its description in RNAcentral is "tRNA-His". It matches the Rfam family "tRNA". Rfam says of the family: Transfer RNA (tRNA) molecules are approximately 80 nucleotides in length. The record is from RNAcentral.
GUGGCCAUGGUGUAAUGGUAACACAGAGGAUUGUGGUUCCUCUGAUACGGGUUCAAUUCCCGUUGGCCACCCCA